UGGGGAAUAUUGGUCAAUGGACGAGAGUCUGAACCAGCCAAGUAGCGUGAAGGAUGACUGCCCUAUGGGUUGUAAACUUCUUUUAUAUGGGAAUAAAGUGAGCCACGUGUGGCUUUUUGUAUGUACCAUACGAAUAAGGAUCGGCUAACUCCGUGCCAGCAGCCGCGGUAAUACGGAGGAUCCGAGCGUUAUCCGGAUUUAUUGGGUUUAAAGGGAGCGUAGGCGGAUUAUUAAGUCAGUUGUGAAAGUUUGCGGCUCAACCGUAAAAUUGCAGUUGAUACUGGUAGUCUUGAGUGCAGCAGAGGUAGGCGGAAUUCGUGGUGUAGCGGUGAAAUGCUUAGAUAUCACGAAGAACUCCGAUUGCGAAGGCAGCUUACUGGACUGUAACUGACGCUGAUGCUCGAAAGUGUGGGUAUCAAACAGG
This 424-nucleotide ribosomal RNA is filed under the name uncultured bacterium. RNAcentral describes it as "bacterial SSU rRNA". It matches the Rfam family "Bacterial small subunit ribosomal RNA", at positions 355 to 776 of the family's 1533-position model. The record is from RNAcentral.